This is a long non-coding RNA of Brachypodium distachyon (stiff brome), 1130 nucleotides long. RefSeq lists it as uncharacterized. The record is from RefSeq and is a predicted model, not a curated record. The transcript has 4 exons. Lineage: Eukaryota; Viridiplantae; Streptophyta; Magnoliopsida; Poales; Poaceae.
CAAUCUGCUGCUCGCAUCACACCGGAAGUUGGCAGAGAAGCACAAGGCUUUGGUGGCCGAAUAGCAGAACAAGACCGGGGACGACGCACAAGUGUCGGAGUUGCUGACGCGCGUUGCGGAGGUGCAAGGGGAGAAAACUCAGCUAAUAGAGCAGCACCGAGAUGAGGUGGCCCGGCUAAGGGCGCAACUUGAAGCGCGGGCUGAGGCGCAUAAGGCCGAGGUAGUCCAACUUACCUCGGCGCUUUCUGCACAAGCCGACGAGAAGAUCCGCCUGGAAUGCGAAGUCCAAAAAUACAAGGAUUUUCUCGCCAAAGCCGAGACUCCAGCCACUGCUGCUGAAGAGGAGAAGACCGAGAGCACCCAUAUGCUAAGCGUGUGCACACGGAUCUCGGCAAGAUAGAUGGACUGCUGGCCAAAAUCUUCCCGGAUUCUACCGAAGCUGCUCAGGCCGCCGUGAUCAAAGCUCGCGGGAAGAGGGAUUCGUCCAAGGCAUUGCCCUCGGAGUACGACGUGGAUGAUUAUCUCAUCAGCAUCUGGACUCGGGUCAAGCCUUUGAAGGCUUUCGGGGUUGACAUGCUUAAUGCCGGCAUCCGCGCAUUCCGAGCUCUUUGGCCUGGAGAGGAAGCGCCGAGUGGCAUCCCGGAGUUAGCCAAGCGUCUCCUGGAGGUGGAGGACCGGCUAAGCGAGUGGCGGGAGUCGGCCGCUCGUGUCGGCACCGACGAGGUACUGUCGUUCGUACUUUCUUGGUACGAUGGCAUUAACCUCGAUGUGGUGCAGUCCAUGCGCGUCGGUUCUCCCUUCCGCUCGGACCCAGAGUUGAUUGCAAAGCGUCAAGAACGGGCCUGCUCCUUCAUCCAGUAUGCCAACGAGCAUACUUUUGUGGAGGGCCCGAGAUCGGACGCAGACGAGGAGGCGGCCGAGGAAGAAGAAGAGGAGGUAGACGAAGAAAUCGUGGCCGAGUCGCCUCCCGCCGCAACAAAUGCUCCGAGUGCCGGCACCAAUGAUCCUGCUGCCUGAAGUCAUGCCUAGUGAUGUCGGCAAAAACUUUUUAAAACUGUUAGAUCCCCGGGAUGCCGGGUGCAGAUGUAAAUACUUUGAAGUACUUUUAGUUGUGAUGCACAAUAUUUUGA